ACAAACUUGGUCAUUUAGAGGAAGUAAAAGUCGUAACAAGGUUUCCGUAGGUGAACCUGCGGAAGGAUCAUUAGCGUAAGAAGAGAAGGGUCGAAAGACCCCCUUUCUCACUACCACCAUGUGAACGAGAACGUGUCUCUGCGGCUGGAGGCGCGUAGCGCGCGCGCGCGCGCAGGAGGAGAAAUUCUCUCUGACACGCCGCGCGCGCGCGCGCCGCCAGCAUGCAUCUCGAAACCGUUGACAAAUAACACACACAUCCCCCUUUAAUACACACAACCAAACACACAACUUUUAACAAUGGAUCUCUAGGCUCCUGCAUCGAUGAAGAACGCAGC
This 335-nucleotide unclassified non-coding RNA is filed under the name uncultured fungus. RNAcentral describes it as "partial contains small subunit ribosomal RNA, internal transcribed spacer 1, and 5.8S ribosomal RNA". The stretch from base 1 to 73 matches the Rfam family "Eukaryotic small subunit ribosomal RNA", at positions 1759 to 1831 of the family's 1831-position model. Lineage: Eukaryota; Fungi. The record is from RNAcentral.